Molecule: long non-coding RNA, 1869 nt
Filed under: Homo sapiens (human)
Lineage: Eukaryota; Metazoa; Chordata; Mammalia; Primates; Hominidae
Description: non-protein coding lnc-HYOU1-1:1
Source: RNAcentral
CUGCUGGGAAAGUGGGCGGGGCCGCGCGGGGUAGUCCUAGAUCUGCAGUGUGCGAGUUUGCCGGAUGUGACUGUAACUUCGCUAGCUAAAAUGCUUGAGAGCGGACCCUUCAUCCCUUUGAGCAUGUUUCUUCCUAAAAUGCGCGGAUACCGGGAGAUCAAGAUGAGGGAUGUCAUGUGCCUUGUGAACUGUCACCCGCCGUGCGAUAUCUCCAAUUCAUUGCAACUGUUUCAGGAUACCAACUGUUGGGCAGAAGCACAAAUGGGAGCGGGUUGAACCCACUUUCACCUACUGAGCAUAUUCCAUACUGGUCAUCAGAAUGUUUAGAUAGUAUGUUAAUAUGUCAGUUGUUAAGCCUAUGAAGAAUAUAUGUUAAAAGAAGCAAUGUGGCCAGGCAAGCUGGCUCAUGCUUGUAAUCCCAGCGCUUUAAGAGGCUGAGGCAGGAGGAUCCCUUGAGGCCAGGAGUUCAAGACCAGCGUGGGCAACAGGCUUCAAAAAAGAAGAAAUGUAAAAGCAGAGAUGUGAACAAGAGAUAGAGUGCAUCUUUGUUGCUUGGGUGCUCCCCCUGUUGUCCAAUGGCAGAAGCUCCACGUCUUCCUCUGAGGGCUGAAUCUGGUUCUACUUGUGCCCAUUGGAUCCUCUUAUUGAUGAGGGUUACAAAGGCCGAGAUUGGCCUGCCAGAGAGACCCACAGCACCUCUUCAGACUUACUACCUUCUUUCCUUUCCUUCUUUUGACAAAUAUGUAUUGAGCACUCCUAGUCCAGGAAUUGUACCAAAUGCCCAGAAUAUAAAUGAACAAGACAUGGUCCUCAACCACCACCCUAGAGACAGGCAUAAAAAGAACUGACAGUAACAAGCCCCUAAUUUCAUGUAGUAAAUUAUAUCUAAUAAAGUGCCUUCGCUUUUCAUGGAAUCUUCGUAGCAACCAUCUGCAGAAGAGGUAUCAUUAUCCCUGAUGAGAAAUGGAGUCUCAAAGAGUUUAACUUAAAGUGGCUCUCUCUGGGCAAAAACUUCAAAGUUCUUUGGAAAUAAAAUGAGUAAUUCAGUCCCCUACCCUCUAAUUAGAUAGUUUGAUGGGUGUAAAGCUAGAUUAUGCUUGUCAGAACAUACACCAGGGUUUGUCUCUUAGUUACACUGGUCUGAACCCAGGAAUUUCAGGAUAGUGAGGAAUAUAACCAAGCAAAUUACACAGAAAAUGACUGUUCACUUACAGUUAGUUCUGCAUACUGAGAACUCGAGUUCUGAAUGGACUAAAGAUAAAGAAGAAAUACAAGUCUUUAGUUUCGAAUUAGAGAGGUCAUAACUCAGAAUCAAGAAUGCAAGAAUUGUCUUGCAGUAUUUUCUUUUCCCUUUAGCAAACUGCUGCCCAUGAUAUAAAACAGUUACAUCCACUGGAACAAAACAGGAACACUUCUUGUCCCAAAUGCAAACUUUAAUUUAUUUUUAUCUUAUUUUAUUUUAUUUUUGAGACGGAGUCUCGCUCUGUCGCCAGUCGUCAGGCUUGAGUGCAGUGGCGUGAUCUCGGCUCACUGCAACGUCCGCCUCCCAGGUUCAAGUGAUUCUCCUGCCUCAGCCUCCUGUGUAGUUGCCUCAGCAAACUUUAAUUUUCCGUUUUUAUCAUCUGGCUCUCCAGGUAGAAACUACCUUCUUUUCUUUUUGAGAUAGAGUCUCCCUCCAUUGCCCAGGCUGGAGUGCAGUGGCACGAUCUCGACUCACUGCAACCUCUGUCUCGUCUCCCAGGUUCAAGCGAUUCUUGUGCCUCAGCCACCCAAGUAGCUGAGACUACAGGCGCACGCCAUCAUGCCCGGCUAGUUUUUGUAUUUUUUGUAGAGACAUGGUUUUGACAUGUUUCCCCGGUUGGUCUCAAA